Molecule: transfer RNA, 83 nt
Filed under: Moraxella caviae
Lineage: Bacteria; Pseudomonadati; Pseudomonadota; Gammaproteobacteria; Moraxellales; Moraxellaceae
Rfam family: tRNA
About the family: Transfer RNA (tRNA) molecules are approximately 80 nucleotides in length. Their secondary structure includes four short double-helical elements and three loops (D, anti-codon, and T loops).
Source: Rfam by way of RNAcentral
GCCCGGAUGGUGAAAUUGGUAGACACAAGGGAUUUAAAAUCCCUCGCUCUUUGAGCGUGCCGGUUCAAGUCCGGCUCCGGGCA